Molecule: non-coding RNA, 21 nt
Filed under: Caenorhabditis elegans
Lineage: Eukaryota; Metazoa; Nematoda; Chromadorea; Rhabditida; Rhabditidae
Source: RNAcentral
UGGGAAUGAUAAAUGAAUGAA